GUGCCAGCAGCCGCGGUAAUACAGAGGGUGCGAGCGUUAAUCGGAAUUACUGGGCGUAAAGGGCGCGUAGGUGGUUAUGCGAGUGUGAUGUGAAAGCCCUGGGCUUAACCUAGGAAGUGCAUCGCAAACGGCAUGACUGGAGUACUGUAGAGGGUAGCGGAAUUUCCGGUGUAGCGGUGAAAUGCGUAGAGAUCGGAAGGAACGUCGAUGGCGAAGGCAGCUACCUGGACAGAUACUGACACUGAGGCGCGAAAGCGUGGGGAGCAAACAGGAUUAGAUACCCCGGUAGUCC
This 292-nucleotide ribosomal RNA is filed under the name uncultured bacterium. Its description in RNAcentral is "partial 16S ribosomal RNA". It matches the Rfam family "Bacterial small subunit ribosomal RNA", at positions 505 to 796 of the family's 1533-position model. The record is from RNAcentral.